Molecule: ribosomal RNA, 489 nt
Filed under: uncultured bacterium
Lineage: Bacteria
Description: partial 16S ribosomal RNA
Rfam family: Bacterial small subunit ribosomal RNA
Source: RNAcentral
AUUGAACGCUGGCGGCAGGCCUAACACAUGCAAGUCGAACGGUAACAGGAAGCAGCUUGCUGCUUCGCUGACGAGUGGCGGACGGGUGAGUAAUGUCUGGGAAGCUGCCUGAUGGAGGGGGAUAACUACUGGAAACGGUAGCUAAUACCGCAUAAUGUCGCAAGACCAAAGAGGGGGACCUUCGGGCCUCUUGCCAUCGGAUGUGCCCAGAUGGGAUUAGCUUGUUGGUGGGGUAACGGCUCACCAAGGCGACGAUCCCUAGCUGGUCUGAGAGGAUGACCAGCCACACUGGGACUGAGACACGGUCCCGACUCCUACGGGAGGCAGCAGUGGGGAAUAUUGCACAAUGGGCGCAAGCCUGAUGCAGCCAUGCCGCGUGUAUGAAGAAGGCCUUCGGGUUGUAAAGUACUUUCAGCGGGGAGGAAGGGAGUAAAGUUAAUACCUUUGCUCAUUGACGUUACCCGCAGAAGAAGCACCGGCUAACUCCGU